Molecule: ribosomal RNA, 520 nt
Filed under: uncultured Glomus
Lineage: Eukaryota; Fungi; Glomeromycota; Glomeromycetes; Glomerales; Glomeraceae
Description: SSU rRNA
Rfam family: Eukaryotic small subunit ribosomal RNA
Source: RNAcentral
AGCAGCCGCGGUAAUUCCAGCUCCAAUAGCGUAUAUUAAAGUUGUUGCAGUUAAAAAGCUCGUAGUUGAAUUUCGGGGUUAGUAAGUUGGUCAUGCCUUCGGUAUGUACUGGCUUUACUGAUUCCUCCUUCUUGACGAACCGUGAUGUCAUUAAUUUGGUGUUGCGGGAAAUCAGGACUGUUACUUUGAAAAAAUUAGAGUGUUUAAAGCAGGCUAACGCUUGAAUACAUUAGCAUGGAAUAAUGAAAUAGGACGUUAAUCCUAUUUUGUUGGUUUCUAGGAUCGACGUAAUGAUUAAUAGGGAUAGUUGGGGGCAUUAGUAUUCAAUUGUCAGAGGUGAAAUUCUUGGAUUUAUUGAAGACUAACUACUGCGAAAGCAUUUGCCAAGGAUGUUUUCAUUAAUCAAGAACGAAAGUUAGGGGAUCGAAGACGAUCAGAUACCGUCGUAGUCUUAACCAUAAACUAUGCCGACUAGGGAUCGGAUGAUGUUAAUUUUUAAUGUACUCAUUCGGCGCCUUAC